This 336-nucleotide ribosomal RNA is filed under the name Triticum aestivum (bread wheat). RNAcentral's name for it is "partial small subunit ribosomal RNA". The record is from RNAcentral. Lineage: Eukaryota; Viridiplantae; Streptophyta; Magnoliopsida; Poales; Poaceae.
AUGUGCAUACCAAAGGAAAAACAAGGUACGGGAUUUCGUGAUAUUGCUAGUUCCAACCAAGCACUACUUGCUAAGAAACGCUGGAGACUUAUUGAAUAUAAUCAGUCCUUGUGUGCGGGGAUCUUGAGGCCCAAAUAUUUCCCUGAUGGGAAUAUUUUGUCAGUUGAACUGAAGAAAGGCUCAACUUAUGUCUGGCAAAGCAUAUGGUCAGGAACCCAAACAUUCAAGAAGGGAUGCAUUUGGAGAGUGGAUAAUGGGGCCAACAUCCACAUUUGGGAUGACCCAUCGAUCCCCUCCAGCAGUUCCACGGAAAAUAAUAACUGGAAGAGGUGCUAG